RNAcentral lists this ribosomal RNA (253 nucleotides) under uncultured bacterium. Its description in RNAcentral is "partial 16S ribosomal RNA". It matches the Rfam family "Bacterial small subunit ribosomal RNA", at positions 524 to 776 of the family's 1533-position model. The record is from RNAcentral.
UACAGAGGGUGCGAGCGUUGUUCGGAAUUAUUGGGCGUAAAGCGCUUGUAGGCGGCCUGUCAAGUCGCGUGUGAAAUCCCUCGGCUUAACCGGGGAACUGCGUCUGAUACUGGAUGGCUGGAGUAUGGGAGAGGGAUGCGGAAUUCCAGGUGUAGCGGUGAAAUGCGUAGAUAUCUGGAGGAACACCGGUGGCGAAGGCGGCAUCCUGGACCAUUACUGACGCUGAGGAGCGAAAGCCAGGGGAGCAAACGGG